RNAcentral lists this long non-coding RNA (342 nucleotides) under Linum usitatissimum (flax). RNAcentral describes it as "long non-coding RNA (LUSI_LNC002585)". The record is from RNAcentral. Lineage: Eukaryota; Viridiplantae; Streptophyta; Magnoliopsida; Malpighiales; Linaceae.
AUGUCUUUCUAACUCGAUGAGCUUUUAUAUAUCUCUCAAAGUCGUUGAAUGGUAAACCUCACCAGUGGAUGUUUGCUUGCAAUGAUGAAAUGAAAAACAAGAGAACUACAAUAACAGGCAGUCUGUUAUCCAUUUGGAAAUUACUGUCUCAAAUAGGCAGAUAGGUACAUGUUGGAAGGAAGAGACGGCAAAUUACGAUAAUCUACUUGACGUAGUAAGGAAGGUUGAUGACAUAGAGAAGGAAAUAAGCCCAGGUCACCCCUGAAAUCCCACCGAAGAAGAACCCUCCGGUGAACUUUGACCACCCGUCAGCUGUCUGCAGCUGGUCAGGCACCUUCUUCC